This is a non-coding RNA of Pelobates cultripes (western spadefoot toad), 460 nucleotides long. Lineage: Eukaryota; Metazoa; Chordata; Amphibia; Anura; Pelobatidae. The record is from the annotation of a GenBank genome assembly.
AAUUAUUUGUACUUCAAUACAUAACUGCAGGAUUCUAUGAUGCUGCAUCAGCUCAAAGGGAAACUGCUUACAAAUAUAUGCUGUUGAAAAGUUAGCCAUAUCUACUCUAGGACCUCCAUCUUGUUCAGACACCUGCACAUGGCCACUGUGCUGUCUGAGAAUGCAUUUUAAAUCCAUAUUCGAAAAUGCAUCUCUACCCCUCUCUUAGGGUUUCUUUAAAAGCUCAGGGAAGUUGUUUAACAUCCUGGUUUUAAAAUUCAGCUUCCAUUUUUCUCUAAUAACCAUUUGCUGCAGAACAUUAGGUGAUCAGAAGUCCAACAACAUUUGUUGAAGUUCAUUUGUAAGAUGUUCAAUGUGUAAGUAGUAUGCCAUUUGUGGUGAAUGGGAACAAGUAUACAGUUUUGGAGAACUAGGAUUGCUGAUCAUAAAGGAGAAGUGUUCGUUGCACACUUUAAUUGCC